This 253-nucleotide ribosomal RNA is filed under the name uncultured bacterium. Its description in RNAcentral is "partial 16S ribosomal RNA". It matches the Rfam family "Bacterial small subunit ribosomal RNA", at positions 524 to 776 of the family's 1533-position model. The record is from RNAcentral.
GACAGAGGCCUCAAGCGUUAGGCGGAAUCACUGGGCUUAAAGCGUGUGUAGGCGGAUCGUUAAGUGCCUUGUGAAAUCCCACGGCUUAACUGUGGAACGGCUGGGCAUACUGGCGGUCUUGAGCCAUCUAGGGGCGACUGGAACAAACGGUGGAGCGGUGAAAUGCGUAGAGAUCAGGAGGAACACCCAUGGCGAAGGCAGCUCUCUGGCUUCACCCUGACGCUGAGGCGCGAAAGCGUGGGGAGCGAACGGG